RNAcentral lists this long non-coding RNA (1006 nucleotides) under Equus caballus (horse). Its description in RNAcentral is "lncRNA (ENSECAG00000049769.1)". The record is from RNAcentral. Lineage: Eukaryota; Metazoa; Chordata; Mammalia; Perissodactyla; Equidae.
AUAGGAUCUUGAGCAAGGAUUUGACAGUGGGAAUGAAAAGAACGUAAAGUACUAGUUGGCUUGAAAACUAAUGAUACAAAUAAGGUGACUUAGCUCAAUCCUUUAAAAAGGAGAGCUUGAAGUCAAGAUUAAGAUGUUAUUAUUUUAUCUGGAAGAUGCAAGCCCACUAACGUAAGAAGGAAAAACAGAAGUGGGGCAAGGAAGUUGCAAAGCAAUUUAAUGCAUUGUGUUACAACACUGGUCACCAUUGCAUGAUGAGUCACUAAGAGAUGCCUCAGGUUGCUUAGCAGAUGUACUCACUCAACACAUAGAACUUCUCUGGAAGUGUGAUAAGAAUAAACCAAAUUUAGGAGAGAGAAAGAAGGAGAAAUUUGUCUUCCCAGAACCCUCUCGUCUCAAAUUACUUAUUGAUAAACAGCAUGGGGAGCUUUUACCUUUAUACUGUUACAUCAUCUGACUCCCUCAGUGCCACUCAGGAAGAGAGAUCCCUUGUACUCUAGAGUGUUAUUUCAUCCAAGUCCAAAAACGGAGGAGUGACCUGAUGUGACUGGGGACCUGACCAAAAGAGAGAAAGAAAAAAGUGGUCAAGAGAAUCCGAGAAGGCACAUACAGUCACAUGAGGAAAGGCCAAUUGGAAGCAAAUCAUCCAAACUAAACUAUUGAAAUGGUGAGGAUCCUUUACUUCUUCGUCUUCUUCUAAGUUGACAGGAUUCAUGUAGAGACAUGAACUGAAAACAGAGCCCCGGCAGUAUUCUCUGUUUGGAUGUGUAUCAGCCGAGUGCUGAAGAAGUCAUGAAUUUCCUUCUUGGGAAAUGUCUCUUGUCAUGAGCCAUGUAACCUAACUGAAUGUAUAGGAGGAUGCGAGAGACAGUCAGUGAUCAAAAGUCUAGUAACCAGGAGAGCUGAUUCUGCACUUGCGUUGGUCAUUAACAAGAUUCAAAUAUGGGAGCAGGUAAGCUUGGCCUUCAGACAGUCUGUCUCCAGAGCCCAGGCUUCCAACCAGUGC